CCUACGGGAGGCAGCAGUGGGGAAUAUUGGACAAUGGGGGGAACCCUGAUCCAGCGACGCCGCGUGAGUGAAGAAGUAUUUCGGUAUGUAAAGCUCUGUCAGCAGGGAAGAAAGAAAUGACGGUACCUGACCAAGAAGCCCCGGCUAACUACGUGCCAGCAGCCGCGGUAAU
This 172-nucleotide ribosomal RNA is filed under the name uncultured bacterium. RNAcentral describes it as "partial 16S ribosomal RNA". It matches the Rfam family "Bacterial small subunit ribosomal RNA", at positions 338 to 524 of the family's 1533-position model. The record is from RNAcentral.